GAUGAACGCUGGCGGCGUGCUUAACACAUGCAAGUCAUGGGGCCCGAACGCGCAAGCUUGGGGCAACCGGCGAACGGGUGCGUAACACGUGAGCAACCUACCCAGGUGUGGGGGAUAGCCGUCCCAACGGACGGGUAAUACCGCAUACGCUCGACACGAGGCAUUUCGAGUCGAGGAAACCUUCGGGGCACCAUGAGGGGCUCGCGGCCUAUCAGCUAGUUGGCGAGGUAACGGCUCACCAAGGCUACGACGGGUAGCUGGUCUGAGAGGAUGACCAGCCACAUUGGGACUGAG
This 294-nucleotide ribosomal RNA is filed under the name uncultured bacterium. Its description in RNAcentral is "partial 16S ribosomal RNA". It matches the Rfam family "Bacterial small subunit ribosomal RNA", at positions 28 to 323 of the family's 1533-position model. The record is from RNAcentral.